CCUGCCCAAGUAACAGAAGGACAAAGGUCCUUCUGGACCUUUGGACAAAGGCCUUGGACAAAGGCCCAAGUAACCCAUCCAGAAGCCGCAUCCCUCGGGCGGGCCUCGGGCGUGUAGUGUCGGUGCCCAGGCUUCUCUUCGCGGUGACAUCAGCGGCGGCCGCACCCUCGCCUGAAGCAGCGUACAGAUAUCUCUUCCGCUUGGGACCUCGCUUCUGUGGUAGGGAUUGAGCCAGGGACUUGCACUCCUGGAGCAGGACAGUCACUACGUAACCAGGGAGGACACAAGGCAAGUUGCCCCAGCCCCCCGGGACAAGGAGAGCGGGAAUGGGGGGAGCGGGGCAGCCGCAGGCCCAGCCACACCCUGUGGCCUGUGCAGGGAAGGGGAGGAGGCCUUCCCGCCCUCUCAGUCCGCGGGCUCCACGGCCCUGGGGACAGUCCUCACCCGGCUCUGCCUUCUCUCUCCCCGUGGUCUCCCAACAGCCUCUUAUGUUGUUGCUCUAGGCCAGUUGUCCCCUUCUCGGGACCUCUGGCUGGCGGGCGUGUGGCCAGCUUUCUGUCACUGACACAUGCUGAGAAUAACCUGAAGGAGCAGAGGUGUAUCUGGGCUCACCCUUCACGGGGCCGUGGGCCUGUGUGUGGCCAGGCGGGGACACCAGGCGGAGGACACGGGAGGAGGAAGGAUGGGGGAACAAGAGGCACCCUCCCGGCGACACCCGCUCCUGGCCGCCUCAGCCGUGAGCUCACUGGUGGUUAAGUUAAGGGUUCAUCCGUGGAUGAAUUCUGGCUUCACGGAGCAGUUAAGAGUCAGGGCUGACUGGAGGGGAGGCCUGGGGCGGACCACCACUGGGGCACCCCCGCCCGGCCCCCCUUUCUCUCUGCUGCCUAGGCGCCGUGAAAGAAGCCGCCUUUCCCACU
This 917-nucleotide long non-coding RNA is filed under the name Chinchilla lanigera (long-tailed chinchilla). RNAcentral's name for it is "lncRNA (ENSCLAG00000028368.1)". The record is from RNAcentral. Lineage: Eukaryota; Metazoa; Chordata; Mammalia; Rodentia; Chinchillidae.